CAGCAUGGUCUUAGCUUGCUAAGACUGAUGGCGACCGGCGCACGGGUGAGUAACACGUAUCCAACCUGCCGUCUACUCUUGGACAGCCUUCUGAAAGGAAGAUUAAUACAAGAUGGCAUCAUGAGUCCGCAUGUUCACAUGAUUAAAGGUAUUCCGGUAGACGAUGGGGAUGCGUUCCAUUAGAUAGUAGGCGGGGUAACGGCCCACCUAGUCUUCGAUGGAUAGGGGUUCUGAGAGGAAGGUCCCCCACAUUGGAACUGAGACACGGUCCAAACUCCUACGGGAGGCAGCAGUGAGGAAUAUUGGUCAAUGGGCGAGAGCCUGAACCAGCCAAGUAGCGUGAAGGAUGACUGCCCUAUGGGUUGUAAACUUCUUUUAUAGAGGAAUAAAGUCGGGUAUGUAUACCCGUUUGCAUGUACUUUAUGAAUAAGGAUCGGCUAACUCCGUGCCAGCAGCCGCGGUAAUACGGAGGAUCCGAGCGUUAUCCGGAUUUAUUGGGUUUAAAGGGAGCGUAGAUGGAUGUUUAAGUCAGUUGUGAAAGUUUGCGGCUCAACCGUAAAAUUGCAGUUGAUACUGGAUAUCUUGAGUGCAGUUGAGGCAGGCGGAAUUCG
RNAcentral lists this ribosomal RNA (611 nucleotides) under uncultured Bacteroidales bacterium. Its description in RNAcentral is "bacterial SSU rRNA". It matches the Rfam family "Bacterial small subunit ribosomal RNA", at positions 68 to 670 of the family's 1533-position model. Lineage: Bacteria; Pseudomonadati; Bacteroidota; Bacteroidia; Bacteroidales. The record is from RNAcentral.